This 560-nucleotide ribosomal RNA is filed under the name Uncinaria sp. SAN-2011. Its description in RNAcentral is "eukaryotic LSU rRNA". It matches the Rfam family "Eukaryotic large subunit ribosomal RNA", at positions 396 to 944 of the family's 3401-position model. Lineage: Eukaryota; Metazoa; Nematoda; Chromadorea; Rhabditida; Ancylostomatidae. The record is from RNAcentral.
AACGUGAAAUCGCUGGAGUGGAACCGGAGAGAGUUGACGUAGUCGGGUAACUAAGUUUGCCAAAGUCGCUUAAUUGUGGCAGCGGCAGAUGUAUGUUGCCUAUGGCUGCGCUGACAGCGCUGGCUGUGCGUUCCGAACCGUUUGCGUUGCCCACUUCGGUGGUGUCUUGUCUGCGGGUAGGUUUGUCGUGGCUAGUGUUUUAUCCUGCUUGCAGGGUGUCAGUGUGAAAGUCGACCACCUCUCCGACCCGUCUUGAAACACGGACCGAGGAGUGUAACUUGUACGCGAGUCAAAGGGUGGAAAACCCCAUGGCGAAAUGAAAGUAAAGGUCGGUUAACCGGCUGACAUGGGAUCCGCCUUUCGAGACGGCGCACCAUGGCCCUGUCUCGUCUGCUUGCAGAUGGGCAGCGGUAGAGCGUACAGGUUGCGACCCGAAAGAUGGUGAACUAUGCCUGAGCAGGACGAAGUCAGAGGAAACUCUGAUGGAAGUCCGUAUCGGUUCUGACGUGCAAAUCGAUCGAUAGACUUGGGUAUAGGGGCGAAAGACUAAUCGAACCAUC